RNAcentral lists this ribosomal RNA (405 nucleotides) under Triticum aestivum (bread wheat). Its description in RNAcentral is "partial small subunit ribosomal RNA". The record is from RNAcentral. Lineage: Eukaryota; Viridiplantae; Streptophyta; Magnoliopsida; Poales; Poaceae.
AUGGACAAACCUAGCAUACUCAUCUAUCAAGAUGUACAAAUGUCUGAUGGACUAGAGCAACACUCAUUCAUCUUCAGCAUCCUAUGGAAAGCAUCAAAUUUACUCAGACAUAAGAUCUUCUUCUGGUUACUUCUACACGACAGGGUCAACAUCAGGAACCUACUAAAGAGAAAAUCCAUGUUCCUCAACUCAUAUGAAUUCCUCCCAAAGGAGUGUGGUAUAGACAUUAUCAUUGCUAGCUGCUGGAGUAUUUGGUCCGUGAGAAAUGAUAAGAUUUUCAAACAGGCAGUGGCCCACCUUAUGUGCUGGAAAUAUUACAUGAGAGAAGGUCCUAAAGUGCUCAUGCUGAGAGCAAAGGCUACCAAGGCAAGCAAGAUUCAGUUCUGGACGGAUAACACUUUGUAA